AUCAAUAGUUUUUUUAUGGGGAUAAAUUUUCGAAAGUAUCGUAAAUAAGACAUUGAAAAGAUUCUAUAUUAGAUACCUAUAAUAUGUAUGGAAAAAAAAACAGAAAUCGAAUUUUUACAGGUUAUCAUCGAUGGUACGUGAUAAAAGAAUCGUCCUGUAUAAUAUUAUAAAUAUAAAUAUUUUUUUUAAGAAAACAGCAACAGACAUAUGUCGU
Cinara cedri is the source of this 214-nucleotide non-coding RNA. Lineage: Eukaryota; Metazoa; Arthropoda; Insecta; Hemiptera; Aphididae. The record is from the annotation of a GenBank genome assembly.